GCAGUAGCCACGGUAAUACGGAGGGUGCAAGCGUUAAUCGGAAUUACUGGGCGUAAAGCGUGCGUAGGUGGUGGUUUAAGUCCGUUGUGAAAGCCCUGGGCUCAACCUGGGAAUUGCAGUGGAUACUGGGUCACUAGAGUGUGGUAGAGGAUAGUGGAAUUUCCGGUGUAGCAGUGAAAUGCGUAGAGAUCGGAAGGAACAUCUGUGGCGAAGGCGACUAUCUGGGCCAACACUGACACUGAGGCACGAAAGCGUGGGGAGCAAACAGGAUUAGAGACCCCCGUAGUCCCUGUCUCUUAUAC
RNAcentral lists this ribosomal RNA (302 nucleotides) under uncultured bacterium. RNAcentral describes it as "partial 16S ribosomal RNA". It matches the Rfam family "Bacterial small subunit ribosomal RNA", at positions 508 to 807 of the family's 1533-position model. The record is from RNAcentral.